ACCCGCUGUGAUAGCUCAGUGGCUAGAGCAUGAGACUCUUAAUAUCAGGGUCAUGGGUUCGAGCCCCACAUUGGGCA
Podarcis lilfordi (Lilford's wall lizard) is the source of this 77-nucleotide non-coding RNA. Lineage: Eukaryota; Metazoa; Chordata; Lepidosauria; Squamata; Lacertidae. The record is from the annotation of a GenBank genome assembly.